UUGCGAAAAAGCGCUUGUAGAGCCACCAAAACUCAAAAAAGAAAGAAUCGCAUAAAGCAAUUGCUUAACCGGGGGGCAGGACAGAACCUGCACAGUAGGAGGCACUAUAGGAAAGGUCGGUGGUCGGUCGCGCUUUAAAAUAAUAGAAACCGCAAAAGCUGCCAUUUUCGAACGCAAAUUGAUUAGAAAUUAGAAAAUAGAGAUGGCGAAGCGAGAAAGCAUAGAGCCGUGCAAGAAAGAAGCCUGCUACAUUCAAGCAUGUCUCUCCAAGAACAAUUUCCUCCCUCAAAAUGUUUAUACUUGGCAGGUGCAUUACAGUCAUUGAAUUGCUGCAGUCUUGCUGUGAGAAACACAAUUACAAUUCGACUCACUGUGCUUCGCUCUCUGGUCUUUUGAAGCAAAAGCCGAAGUAGAAAGUGUUGUCAAUUUUGCACUUAAUGACUAAAUGUAGCUCUACCUCUAUCAUAAACUCCAGGCAAAAUACCACAGCGGCCAAAUGCUUGAUGUGAUUAUGACUUGCCAUAAGCUUCUCUUGUUGCGAGAAGCUUAUGGCACAUUAAAUGCAAUAAAAGGUGGGGGAGGGAAAACAAAAAUAGUGUAAAGAAUGCUAGAAAAGUUUUCUGUUGAUGUCUUGAUUGAUACACUUGUGUGCAUAAGGUUUUAUUUUCAUACAUGUGAAUCGAUCAAGAGCUGUAUUCUUU
RNA transcript from Prunus avium (sweet cherry), 701 nucleotides. It is a transcript of the gene named Cox19 family protein (CHCH motif), with no coding region annotated. Lineage: Eukaryota; Viridiplantae; Streptophyta; Magnoliopsida; Rosales; Rosaceae. The record is from RefSeq and is a predicted model, not a curated record.